GUUUAGACCUGGACCUACCGAGAACCAGAUUUGUGUACCGAACCCUGCUAUCCUUGACCUUACCUGCGGCCUGGGUGGACCAGGACAGCGAAAUAACUUUCAUUCUGGGCUGACUUUGGUGACAGUUUCCCACUUAAUUUGUGACAAACGCUCCUAACUUUGAAGAGGUUUGCCACAAUAUAUACUGCAAAAAAACACAGACAUACUCUACAGUAGAGCUAUAAUACAGCACAUAGCAGCCUCAGUCAUAAGUUUAAAUUGUAUUUAUUCACAUAGAAACGGACUUUCAAAGACAGAUAUAGGCAAUAGAGAGAUGUAGUGUGUAUUCUUUGGUAGCAUAUCACUGACAUUUUAUUCACAAUCCAUCUGUCUAUUUGCACAUGAAGAUAUAACUUCUCUCUGUCAGCUUUCUUUAUCAUACAAACAUACAUGUUUCUUUCUGUCAGCUUUCUUUAUCAUACAAACAUACAUGUUUCUUUCUGUCAGCUUUCUUUAUCAUACAAACAUACAUGUUUCUUUCUAUCAUAUUACAUUCAGAAGAUAUUCUGAAAAUAUAUUAUUCUGCUGUAAAUCCACUGGGGUUGUGCCAUGCCCCUGCUUCUGUUGACUGGCUGGGACAAAAGACAGACUGUCCCCAGUGUGCAGGAAGAGGCCCUCAAGCCUUGAUUCAGUUUGCUUUCCUGUUCUGGUUCCCCUUUCCACCCCAACCCCGCUAAUUCUUUCCUGUCUCUAUCUAAAUCCCUUUGUUAACAAGCUCCUGUCCGGUCCCGAUUCACUUCAUCUGACGCCAUAGAGCAAACACACAUUCUGUUUGUGCCGCACAAUGUUCCUUUUCUCUCUCGCUGUCUCUUUAACAGGCUUUACACAAGGUGAUGGUUGCAUGUUACAGAAAUUCUUUAGAGUUGAAAAAGGCGCAAUGUAUAUUUGAGAAAAUAAUGAAUAAUUGUGCAGUAAGUAACUGUGAAAUGCUGUAAUUAAAGAGUUUACAAAUAUACAAAAUAUCCCAUAAAUUUCAAUGUUGAAGUCAUUGUAAAAGUAUAAAAC
Molecule: long non-coding RNA, 1044 nt
Filed under: Salmo salar (Atlantic salmon)
Lineage: Eukaryota; Metazoa; Chordata; Actinopteri; Salmoniformes; Salmonidae
Description: lncRNA (ENSSSAG00000120939.1)
Source: RNAcentral